This 1233-nucleotide ribosomal RNA is filed under the name Triticum aestivum (bread wheat). RNAcentral describes it as "partial small subunit ribosomal RNA". Lineage: Eukaryota; Viridiplantae; Streptophyta; Magnoliopsida; Poales; Poaceae. The record is from RNAcentral.
AUGGAGUCAAUGGCAAGUAUUGCUCCAAGUGCCGGCUCAACUACAGCAAUGGGACUUGAAGAUGAUGCCAACAACUUUUCCAUGGUCCAAACGGGAUUGGACAUACAUGAUGAAGAUUGUUUCAAUACACCAAAAAGAACCAGUAGCCUCCCCGUGUGUGGGUCAACUUAUGAGCCUGAGUAUGAUGAUAGCCUACACCCAUCAAUUGGCAUGCGAUUUGAUAGCUGGGAGGCAGGUUUGGCAUUCUAUAGAAUGUAUGCCCAUGAGGUUGGCUUCUCCGUGCGCAUAUGGACACAACACAAAGGAGAGGGUGGUGUAAUAAUUUGGAAGAAGUUUGUUUGCGCAAGAGAAGGUUGCAGGAAGGAAAAAUCAGUGGACAUUGGCCAAGAUACUCAAGAAAUGAAGAGAAAAAAGGUUAAAAGAAAUAUCAAGAUAACCAGAUGCGGUUGUGAGGCUAUGAUCGGAUUGAAGGGGCAAGAUGAUGGCAAGUAUGAGGUCAUCCAGUUUGUUCAAUCACACACACACCAACUUAUCUCACCAAGUAAGAGACAUCACAUCCGGUCAAAUAGAGAGAGAUGUGUAUACUCACAAGAUUUUUGUUGCUUUCCAACGUGGGUGGUGGCUGCUAGGGACCGUUGUCAUGUAAAACCUAUUGAGCAGGUUGGUGAUGUCCGAACCACGAGCAUCGGUGACCUUAGCGGCAGGAUAAGAGUAGUCCGCUACAACACUAGUAUGAAGGCUGCACAAUGUACUUGUCGAAUGUUUGAAUCAUUGGGCAUCAUGUGCUCUCACAUCAUUGUUGUUUUAAAGAAUGAUGGGUGUAAUGAAAUUCCUAGCCAAUAUGUGUUGCAUAGGUGGACUAAAAUGGCUUCACGACAUCUUUCUUAUGAUGCCAAUGGACAUGAGCUAGAAGGGUCUUCUACAUCUCUUUCACCUACCAUCAAGAAAUUGUACUCAGAAACAUGCUCGAUGUUUAGCUCGGCAUUGCAUACAGCUAAACAUUGUGAGGACAAGAUGAAAUACUUUCACAAAGUUAUUGUUGAUGCUCUUGCACACUUGAGGCAGACUGUGCCGCUUGACGAGCAAAGUAAAGUUCAAGAGUUUGAAUCCUUCAUUGGAACCACAUCACCAAGCAUCAUCAAAAUUCAUCCACCCGAGGUUGCAAACACAAAAGGUAGUGGUAAGAGAUUGAAGAGGGGUUCAGAGGAGGCCAUGAACAAAAGGAAAAGGUAA